GACGAACGCUGGCGGCGUGCCUAAUACAUGCAAGUAGGACGCACAGUCUAUACCGUAGCUUGCUACACCAUAGACUGUGAGUUGCGAACGGGUGAGUAACGCGUAGGUAACCUGCCUAUUAGAGGGGGAUAACUAUUGGAAACGAUAGCUAAUACCGCAUAACAGUAUGUAACACAUGUUAGAUGCUUGAAAGAUGCAAUUGCAUCGCUAGUAGAUGGACCUGCGUUGUAUUAGCUAGUAGGUAGGGUAAUGGCCUACCUAGGCGACGAUACAUAGCCGACCUGAGAGGGUGAUCGGCCACACUGGGACUGAGACACGGCCCAGACUCCUACGGGAGGCAGCAGUAGGGAAUCUUCGGCAAUGGGGGGAACCCUGACCGAGCAACGCCGCGUGAGUGAAGAAGGUUUUCGGAUCGUAAAGCCCUGUUGUUAAGGAAGAACGAGUGUGAGAAUGGAAAGUUCAUACUGUGACGGUACUUAACCAGAAAGGGACGGCUGACUACGUGCCAGCAGCCGCGGUAAUACGUAGGUCCCGAGCGUUGUCCGGAUUUAUUGGGCGUAAAGCGAGCGCAGGCGGUUAGAAAAGUCUGAAGUGAAAGGCAGUGGCUCAACCAUUGUAGGCUUUGGAAACUGUUUAACUUGAGUGCAGAAGGGGAGAGUGGAAUUCCAUGUGUAGCGGUGAAAUGCGUAGAUAUAUGGAGGAACACCGGUGGCGAAAGCGGCUCUCUGGUCUGUAACUGACGCUGAGGCUCGAAAGCGUGGGGAGCGAACAGG
This 773-nucleotide ribosomal RNA is filed under the name Streptococcus anginosus. Its description in RNAcentral is "bacterial SSU rRNA". It matches the Rfam family "Bacterial small subunit ribosomal RNA", at positions 28 to 776 of the family's 1533-position model. Lineage: Bacteria; Bacillati; Bacillota; Bacilli; Lactobacillales; Streptococcaceae. The record is from RNAcentral.